Molecule: small nuclear RNA, 108 nt
Filed under: Marmota monax (woodchuck)
Lineage: Eukaryota; Metazoa; Chordata; Mammalia; Rodentia; Sciuridae
Source: RNAcentral
AGCAAUGUGACUUCCUGUGCUCUCUGCGGCAGCACGUAUGAUGCAGAGAAGAUGAGCAUGGCCCCUGCGCAAGGACGGUAUGCAGAUUCUGAAGCGCUCCAUGCUGUU